CCUACGGGUGGCAGCAGUGAGGAAUAUUGGUCAAUGGGCGCGAGCCUGAACCAGCCAAGUAGCGUGAAGGAUGACUGCCCUACGGGUUGUAAACUUCUUUUAUAAAGGAAUAAAGUGAGGCACGUGUGCCUUUUUGUAUGUACUUUAUGAAUAAGGAUCGGCUAACUCCGUGCCAGCAGCCGCGGUAAUACGGAGGAUCCGAGCGUUAUCCGGAUUUAUUGGAUUUAAAGGGAGCGUAGGCCGGUCUUUAAGCGUGCCGUGAAAUGCUGUGGCUCAACCAUGGGGGUGCGGCGGAAACUGGAGACCUAGAGUGCGAAGGAGGUAGGAGGAAUGCGGGGUGUAGCGGUGAAAUGCAUAGAUAUCACGCAGAACCCCGAUUGCGAAGGCAGCCUGCCGACGCGAUACUGACGCUGAAGCACGAAAGCGCGGGUAUCGAACAGGAUUAGAUACCCGUGUAGUC
This 460-nucleotide ribosomal RNA is filed under the name uncultured bacterium. RNAcentral's name for it is "partial 16S ribosomal RNA". It matches the Rfam family "Bacterial small subunit ribosomal RNA", at positions 338 to 795 of the family's 1533-position model. The record is from RNAcentral.